Molecule: small nuclear RNA, 23 nt
Filed under: Arabidopsis thaliana (thale cress)
Lineage: Eukaryota; Viridiplantae; Streptophyta; Magnoliopsida; Brassicales; Brassicaceae
Description: snRNA_17958
Source: RNAcentral
ACUGCUGUGCAAGAAAACUAAGU